UUGACUUGUAUGCUUUAAGAAUGUUUUUGAAGUACAAUGUAAUCAAAUAUGAUAAUAUGAAUAUUUUGAAUGAAAGGUUCUUGUUUGUGAAAUUAGUAUGUUCUUCAAAUAUGAACUACUUUAUCUACUUCACCUUAUCUUACUUGGGGAAUGGCUCUAUGUUGACUUGACAGGAACAUGGUUUCAGGACAGGCAGUCUGGCUGGACAACUUGACUCCCACGAACUAGAUGAGAUACUUAUAAAGUUGGAAGAUAACAGAUUAACCGAAACUGUAGGGAUACCUGUUGAGGAAGAUAAAGGUUCAUUUCGCCUUACUGCAUGCGUAUCAUCACAGGUAUUGGCUAUAGAGGAGCUCUUCAGACAUAGGGUGACAAAUGUUGUCUUCAUGGGCAUGGGUGAACCAAUGUUGAAUCUGAAGUCAGUUUUGGAAGCACAUAGGUGCUUGAAUAAGGUUCUAAAUUAUUUUCCAUUAAAUAUCUCUGGCGAAAAUACGAUGUAAUUAGAACCUGGAUCUUGAAUUAAAAGUAUGAUUUAGAUUCUUUAUCUGUUUGACAUUGCGACAAAAAAAA
This is a non-coding RNA of Phoenix dactylifera (date palm), 570 nucleotides long. The record is from RefSeq and is a predicted model, not a curated record. Lineage: Eukaryota; Viridiplantae; Streptophyta; Magnoliopsida; Arecales; Arecaceae.